GUGGGGAAUUUUGGACAAUGGGCGCAAGCCUGAUCCAGCAAUGCCGCGUGCAGGAAGAAGGCCUUCGGGUUGUAAACUGCUUUUGUACGGAACGAAACGGUCCUGGUUAAUACCCGGGGCUAAUGACGGUACCGUAAGAAUAAGCACCGGCUAACUACGUGCCAGCAGCCGCGGUUAUACGUAGGGUGCAAGCGUUAAUCGGAAUUACUGGGCGUAAAGCGUGCGCAGGCGGUGCUGUAAGACAGGCGUGAAAUCCCCGGGCUUAACCUGGGAAUGGCGCUUGUGACUGCAGUGCUGGAGUGUGGCAGAGGGGGAUGGAAUUCCGCGUGUAGCAGUGAAAUGCGUAGAUAUGCGGAGGAACACCGAUGGCGAAGGCAAUCCCCUGGGCCUGCACUGACGCUCAUGCACGAAAGCGUGGGGAGCAAACAGGAUUAGAAACCCUAGUAGUCC
This 450-nucleotide ribosomal RNA is filed under the name uncultured bacterium. Its description in RNAcentral is "partial 16S ribosomal RNA". It matches the Rfam family "Bacterial small subunit ribosomal RNA", at positions 354 to 796 of the family's 1533-position model. The record is from RNAcentral.